ACAGUCUAUUAGAGUUCUGAGUAACAUAAAAAUUGUAGGGUCCCCGUCACACUCCUCGCCCCUCUUUACCCUUCCCCACGCACGUCUUGAAUAAUUCGAAACAAAUCGCACAUGCGAACCUGCACCACGUUAUCAUUUACACGUAGCACAUAUGGCAUCGACAAGGAUUCGCGUGUGACUAUGUAAAUUGUACAAUGGACAAUUAUCUAAUUACGUAAUUUCGUAUUCCUCCUUCGGUAUAAGAAAGUCCAACGAAAUAGUACGAAAAUCGAGCGCGGACGUCGCCCUUAGCGUCUAGUUUCAUAUUUCGUCCCACAGGUGUCGCCCCGUGAAAUCAUGUAAAAUAGAUCACAGCGCCAUAGAAAUUCUCACGUCUCGUUAGCCGCAAAUUCAUCUCGGAUAACCUCAGUCCCGUAAGAGAAUAUGUCAUCUAGGUGCAAGUGCCCAGCCGCGGAAUCAGCCUAAACGUAUUGUGAGAAAAAGUGGCGCCAGUACCGCGCACGACACACAUAACACGCCGGGCGUUUUUGCGAGGAACCGGGCCGGCGGAACGAUCGGACUACGACAAAAAGUCAAAUAGCUAGCGGGAGAACGCGUCGCACGUCGUCCACCGGGAGGUAAGGAAGACGAAGGAACGAGACCAAGAAGCUCGUAGAGGAAGGAGGGGCCUCUGCCCCCCCUAUUGCAUACGCGGUGACAAAAACUUGUCGCGCUGCGGUUAUAACGCGUUGUCGCGCGGCACGCGACAUCCUGGCGUACGUCCUCGUGCUCCUUGUGUCACGAUUCUACACCUAGCUCCGAUUUUUUCCCCUCUAUCUACGUCCUAACGAACAUAGAAUAAAUUAACGCCGCAGGUUUGUGUCUUGCUGUUGGUCGGGGAGGUACGUGAAUGAGGUGGAAAAAAAUUAAGUAAAAAAAAAAAAAGAGUAAUUUAAAGAAUGGCUGGUUAAUUCGCUCCGGUGGCUCUCGCGUCUGAGGCGUUUAGAGCCUGCCGUUCUUAAUUAACCAUAAUUGUCUUGCUGGGAUGCGCAAAAACCUUAAGGUUUUCAUUAUAAUAUGCCUUCGUAACUAUGCACGUAUAAAUCAGUCUUGUAUCUCUCUCUGUGUCUGUAUAUACAUAUAUAUGCUUUUAUGACACGCAUAUAACUACCUUUGUAUACUCUGUCACUCUUCUUUUUUCUUUCCAACGAGCAUUACCCACCUUACGAUAUUACAUAUCCGUAUAUUUAAAUAUUACACGCAUGCGCUUUAGCUCCACAGAUUUCUUAUCCGUUUUACCAAGAAGCCUCCCUUAUGGACAUGGGGAAAGAAAAACUCAACCGUCUCUCUACCGGUUUACCAUUUUUCUUUUCUGUGUCAAGUGCCACGUGUAAUUAUAUCACAUGGACGUUUCUACGUACGCAGGCCACACAUGGUCCCACCUUCGCAGGAUCAGCCACGUUGACGUUAACGUCCGUCGUGAGUUCUCAGAACGACGUGACGUUUUUCAUCUCUGCCAUUUUGUCAGAAGAUAAAAAGAAUUGGGCACGCGACGGCUACGGUCCCAUGAGAAUACUUCGUUUCUUCUUCUUCGUCGUGCCAGGAGGACGUGGUUGGUGGCAUUCUCAACCCGGUGAUCCGGUAUGUUAGAACUCUCGUUGAUGCACUUGGAAAAGAAGAAGGAACCACAUUCCAAUUGAAGUAAACAUUUAAAGAGUUAAAUGCCGUCCUGACCUGGAUUCAAUUUCGUCCAGCUGGCUGAGACGAUAUUUUACAAUCGCCGGUGGGGAGCGUUGAAGUAUUGCCGGAUAAUGACGGUUGAACAAUGGCGACAAAUUGGUCCUGUCAAAUUGGUCGACGUGCGACAAUAUCGUGAAUGGCGUCGUUUAACUUCGUGAAACCGUUAACUGUACUAUUGCGUGUGAUUGCCUGUACUUUUGUAUAUACGUGUAGUACGUGCAUACGUAUAUGCUUACAUGUAGGUAAGAGUGGCUAUACGUUGCCAAAGUAAGGUUAAUUGUAACCUCGUGAAACGACUCAGGGCGACAAAGAAUUCGUGAGAGGAAAUAAGUAUGAGAAUAUUAUUGGGGGCGUGUAGAGAAUAGAGAGAACGAAUGAAAGAAUGCUGAGAAAUGAAUUUAUAAUUGAAAGACUAAUUGCUGUUGGGAUAGACAGAUCCAACGAAUUUAAUCAAAGAACUUCUUCAGACCUGUUUCAUCGACUUACUGAACACUGACGAGUGAGACAGUGCACGUAGUGACGUGGCCAUUCAAAUUAUUAAUUGUGUAAUAAGCUAUUGGCUCUUAUCGAAGAGUUCGAUCGACAAUGAAUGAGCGUGACCUCUUCCCUCGUUAGAUAAAACUUCAGCCAGCUGUCAGUUUGUCAAGGGAGAGUAAAGUGAAAAAGAAAUGAUUGACGUACUGAGAGAUUGACGGCGGGUAUACGUCGAGCAAUCUAAUCAUUGAGUAAACACGAUACAGACCCCAAUGUGGUGGUUUACGUAGAAACCCAAAAAAAAAAGAGCUUGGCAAUCUCCUCUCGACAGGAAUUACAUAUAAGAUUGUCAUACCGUAUAAGAAUCUUAAUAAAAGUAUACGAAGUCAAAGAUCACGUCGAAUCGCCCUGAGCUAAGAACGUAAACGUUAUGAAGUAGUUAAUAAAAACAAGAUUAAGCGAAAGAAAAAAAAUUGGAUUUUAUACAUUCAACAAUGAGUUCCAAUUGAUACGCAUCGAAUCGACGCCCGAGCGAAGCGUCAUUGAACUUCAUGUGGACGAUGCCUAAGAGAGAUACAUAUAAGACCAGACCGUUUCCAUUGAUUCGCAUAGUUUGGUAUACGAGGCGAUUAGAUAGUAGAUACAAAAGAGAAUAACAAAGAAGAAUGAGAAGGAAAAAAAGAGAAACGUGUAACACACAUGAGUAUUGGCGCGUGAUUCGAUAAGACGAGUUAAACAGACAGCCAAAAGACGCUUUUGGCAUUGAUAAUUCAUUGAGAAAUUGUUGUCAUGGUAGAAAAAAAAGUUUUGCUGUAAUCGUAAGAUUGAUAUAAAAUAAAAAUAAUUAUGUAGAUUGACAAUCUUAAUUCCGAGUAGUGGAGGUGGACCGGUUUUGGAAUUGCUUUGCUCGAGAGUCCAUCGGACAACAGGGUUUUCUUUACGGAAUGAGUAUGGGCUUGAGCCAAUGGGCCCAGCACUACGUACCACGCAAUGACCAUACAUAUAUGUUAUAAGCAGUGCUUUCGGUAUGGCGAUUGGUCCAGAAGGUACACGUAGCGAUGAACCGUCUCGAUAAAUUGGUCUAUGGUGGCCCCAUGCUAUCUACCCGUAGCCAUCUCGUUCACGAAGCAUGAGUAGUGGUCAGAGAUAGGAGCGCCAAGCGGGCACGACGAGAACUACGUGUACUUGGGGUUCCAGUUAUCGGCACGGUCCCAUCUAAAUUGCUUCUCAUUUUCUCCGAUCGUCUAUCCCUGCGAGUUCCACGAGGAAGAAUGAGAAGGAGACUUUUUAAGUUUCGUAUUAAAAGAAAAAAGUAGCGUUGGUUCUCCCUAUAAGAAAAUACUACUAUACUGUACGUUGCGCAUGCGCACAAGAGGGUAAAGAAGAAAAAUUACGUGUUAAGGAGAUUGAGUGAAAGAGGUUAAAACGUUUCUUGGCUAAUUGCCAAGAGAUCACGUUUACCCCAUAUGUACGCUCGUGUCUGCAGGAUAUUAUAAUCGUAGCAGGAUAGUCAAUUUGUUGGCGAGUUUUCAUGGAUCGUGAAGCUGAGAAACUGUUCGGAUUUAUCUGUAUGUGGAUACGAGGGUGGACGGCACCGUACGUUCCCCGUACAGCGCCGCCUUGGCCAACCUCGGUAGGAUGCGACAUUCAAUGCAAAUACCUUGGGACCCGCUCUGCAGCUUGUCACUGUCCGUAGCUAGGACCAAUAAGAACCACUUUUGCCUUUUGCUUAAGCACGGAUUACACGGGACGAUCGAGAUACGGUCUAGAAGGAGAAGACAGUUUACCUUCAUCGUCUUACUUUUAUAGAAUUUCAGGCUUACGAAGAAUUUUUCGAUAAAUCCAAUGGGUAGGAGAAUUCCAAAAAAAAAGAUCACGCCACUCUGAGUCCACUAAGACGUGACAGAUCUGGCUGAAGAGAUUAAAAUUGAUUUUUUAACGAAUUUUAAUUUCUAUAAUACCAAAGUAUGUGACAGCUGUGUGUAUGGCAUAACAGACCUCCGAGUUGUAUUCACGUUGUAAAUUCGCCUUUUUUACGGUCUGUUAUUAUGAUUCGUUAGAAAAGACUGGGAAUAUUCCUAGAAACCCUCCUUUAUGCCGUCGCUGAGCGUCGGAACGCUGGUUGGGGCCUUUUUGCUCGGUGCUGGAGCCACUGCUAAUCCAUAUGCAGGCCCGGAAAGUCGAGGACGAACAAAGAGAGCCGGCUGUCUCGUUUAAGUCCCGGGAUAGCCGCAGAGUCCUCGUGUUCGGCUUUGGGGUAUUCGUUGUCUCGGAGGUUAAGUCACGAGCCGAUAUAAAGGUACGCCUCGAGAAAGUUACCUAAUUAAUUGAGCACACCCCGAGCGCAGAGAGAAGGAUUCGUUUUAGGUUUGCCGAAGCAUAAAGAGAGAUAAAUUUCACAAAGAGACGGAACAACACGUAAAGACCGACCCGUACGCCAUGCAAAUCCAAGCCGAAUACUACAGCGCCACCACAGAGAAACCUUGUAGGAUUUGAAAUACCAAAGACAGUUUCAGGAUAGAAUUCAACUAGAUGAAAAAUUUCUUCAAGAUUUCAAUAACUCGAUAGUUAAUCGAAAACAAUAUUCAUAAAAUCCCACUGUACAUUCUAGCUGGCAUGAAAGACGUUAAAUUCAAUUUUAAUGAAACUCGUAACGAAGCAUCCCAAGUAACGACUGGUGCGCAUGCGCAGUUACAUAACCGCCAACGAGGAAGCCAAUUGAAAGCGAGAAAAAGUAUAUUUCUGAAAAUACGACGUCCAAGGAUUAUAAACCGCGUGACUAUCAACGGGACUUUUCAAUCGCCCCCUUAAUACACGUGAUGAAGAGCAAAAAGGUCCAUGCAAAUCGCAGCAUCCAGCGGCAUCCUCAAAAACUUCAAACAUGAACUUGGAUGCCCCGUGGAAUGCGGCUUGCGGCCGUAGCGUCGUGGGACGUUCGUUUAUGUUGUUGCCUUCGCGGCGUUAUUGUUACGUUCUGCAAGAGGAGCCUGUAUGUGCGCCGUAGUAUAAGAGAAUAGCAGUCGGCCAGUGCUACAACAGUACGAACUAUACCCAACAACCAUUUACUCUACCCACGAGAAGAGAUCCCUUGGGAUAACUAUACCAGGAUACCGCUCUCCCCGUUAACCACUCUUCACGGUCAAAAGAAUACAACAAAUAGAAUCUCUCUACUGACACAUAGGCAAUAUUCGCCAGUCCUCGAGCACAGCGAUGACCCUUGGCUUACGUCAAUUAUCUCCAAAUUGAACUCACGUUGACCGCGUGACAUUGAUACAGCCACCAGAUCAGACCACAUGUCGAAAUCUGCAAACCAGAUCAGUAUGAAAAUUCGCAAAACAUCCAGACCAGAACUUCGUCGAUAAUGGCGAACGUAAUGACUGCCCCAAUUUCCACCCUCCCCCAUAAUCCAAACCACGAGGCGAAACUUGGCUCCCAAAAGUCUCGUAACUCACGGCUGGGCUCCCUGGUGAAUACUUGGCAAGGGAAAGAACGUAGAUACACGUGAGGAAGGAAAGAAAGGUGGUUAGGAAGUCGCUGUUUAAUUCAGAGAUGCUAAUCUAACCUAACCUGACCAUCUUCGAGCAUAAGUUAUCGGGAGCAUAAACAUGGGGCAUCGUAUUAGCAUAAAGUAGUCUGGUUAGGUCGGGACUGCUUUGCGAAGUAUAGGUUAGGUUGGGUUAGGCUAGGUCGCAUCCACAAGGUACAAGAGGAUGGCGCAGUACAUUUCUAAGAUGCGUACGGUCGUCGCGCUAGUAAAGGAUGAACCAUUGUGUUAAGCUAUAUUUUAAGGUUAUACCGGCUACGUUUCUCUCUGCGUCUUUUAAUCAUUGGUCGUCCCUAUGUAUCCUCUUCGUCCUACCCAUAAGGCAACACUCGUCCACGUUUGACGUAAUUUAUUUUAUUUCAAACUCAGCUUUGAAUUUCCCGCCAUAAAGUGCACAUGCCGCGUCAUAGGAAACUCGAGUCGCUGGCCCGAACGACCAAUUCGCUUCUCCUGCGUUUGAAUGGAGAUUUCUAAUACAUAUUAAUAGAACCUUAACGUUCUGACAUUUAGUUACCCAGGUUGGUAAAUACUUCACUAAAAUUUCCGGCCUGCACCGUACAUAAGUCAAGUACAGUGUACAUAUAAUACACCCAUAAGAACACAAAGAGGCAUGAACCGUUACGUUCAAUGAGCCUGAGUAUAUAAACCAUAAUGAAAUAUUGUAAUAGUCAGGUCAUAAUGGUUAAUUAAUUAAAGCAACGUGUGCUGUUCGCAAUAAUUAUAGCAUUGUUCUAACGAUUUUAAUCCAUUUCCCCCCCUCUCACCCUUUAUAGUCUCUCACCGUUAAGAUCGAUCAACCAAGGAAACGUGACUAGACAAUAUCUCGACUAUGAUUUAUUCCAUGCUCAAUUAGUUCCUCGGAACAGGUUAAGCUCGGUAAUUACAACGACCGCCAACAAGUGAAGAUAAAUUUUAAAAAAUUCUUCUCAGCUCCCACAAAUACCAUACGCGUAUACGUACGGUCGUGCACCGGGGUCUGAUAUAUUAAUAUAUUCAGACAAUACCAUGUCAGACCCCACGCAACUAAUCGUGCGCAUACAUAAGUCCGACCUGACGCAAGUCACUCAGGUCCAGCUCUGAAGUCUGCGUACACCAAGAUCAAUCCAAAUCAUCCUGC
Cephus cinctus (wheat stem sawfly) is the source of this 6854-nucleotide long non-coding RNA. RefSeq lists it as uncharacterized. The transcript has 3 exons. The record is from RefSeq and is a predicted model, not a curated record. Lineage: Eukaryota; Metazoa; Arthropoda; Insecta; Hymenoptera; Cephidae.